GCUUGGAAGGCAGUGCAUAAUCUUCACAGAAAUCAGAGAUAAUUUGACUGAAUGGUGGAUUUUUUGAGGUGGAGAAGAAUGUACAUUAAGAGAACAGAAUCUCUUUAGAAAAGACUUUAAAGAAGAGUUUGAGAAGAAGGUUAUGCUGUCAUGGCAAUAUAGGAGGCAACAAAGAAAGUAUGUGUGUGUAUAUAUAUACAUCACUUUAAGGAAAAGAUUCAUAGUCCAAAUAACUUCUUUUCUCUAGGAACCAAAGAUCAGAGCCCAGUAACUCUGAACAACUCCAUAGUAAAUGCCAGUGAGUAGUCACAAGUCAUUCCUAACAUAUAUCUUACUUAGGAGCACAAGUAUUUGGCAUCAGGAUUUUUUUUUCUUAAUUGAACACAGAAGGCAAAUGUCCUCAUAACCAGAAGGAUCUUGCCAACAAGGCAGAGCAUUCCUGCAGUGUAUAUACAGCCAUGUUCAUAAACGGCUCCAUCCAAAGCCCAUUCACACUUAGUCAGACUACGUUUAUUUAAUGCUAUUCUGUAAGGAAUCAAUGAAUCUGCAUUUGGAUGUAAAGCAAUUGGGGUGAUACACAAAACUCUGUCAUUCAAGGACUGCAAGCCAGCAAGAUCCAGAAGAUGCUGGAAGGAAGAAGGGAGAAGAGGAAGGCGGAGCUGUGGCCAGAGACACUCGUCCUGAAGAUCAGAAAUUCCACUUACAAAAAGAGCUGUCUUCAUCUUCGCCAUUCAGGUGAGCCUCUCUGUGAAUUAAAUCGGGCUUUUGGCAGAAAUUGGUGUAUUUUCUGGCUGCAUGAGAUACAUUCUUGGCUUCCAUCCCCAGGAGGCGAGAGGGGCAGUAUGAAAUCCUAUCCCCUUCAACUUGCAGUUUGAUAUAAGGAAAAAAAAAGUCUGUAAUUCUUUAUUUUUUUUUCUCAUGCAGGAUAAUUGUUUUGGAUCAGAGCUCUCCUACAUGAUUAAAAUGGAUAGUGCAUAAAUUCUAAUGUAUCACCUGCUUACUGCUGCUCGUACAGUGUUCAGCCUGUGAAUUGCAGCCCUUCCCAGCCACAUAAACGAUUGUAAAGCUCGUAUUUCCUUUAACUGCAGCAGCAAGUACAGAAGAAAAUCUAAUGCUCUACUUUGUAACCCAGUUUGUUCCGGUUUUACACCAUCAUUGCCCGUAAAGGCAGUGUCAGUACUAUCGCAGGACUGAACUGUUUUCUGUAUAUAACAUCUUUACGAAGCUGGCGAUGUGGUGGGGUUUUUGCUGCACGUUCAUGCUUUCAAAAGCAAAAGAAUUUCUUGCUCUGUUGCAUUAUAUUUCGGUUUUCAGUGUUACAGACAAAAUGAUUGUAAUUCCAUGGGCUGCUGUUCCUGCUCAGCCACUUGUUAAAUUUUCCCGUGCUGGAGUGUGGAGCACUGUUACAGCCCAUGGAGUCUAUGUUUUUCCUUGCUCGUUAAAUUUAACAAGGUAAUUUCUUGUUUUCUCUUUUCUUAGUGCUUUUGUGAUGUAGUCUUGAACUGAUUUGACUGAUUAAGGGGAUUAAUUGCUGUGCAAAAAGCUAAUGAGAAAAAGGCACUGUUCUCCAGAGAUUGCAAAUGUAGCAAUCCAUUCCCUGCCAACAUCAGACAGGAAUAUGAGAAAAUCUGUUUAGUAUUACGAAGAUCCUUGUUUAAUUAAACCAUGCUUUUGGUAGACUCAUCUGAAAAAACGUCCCUGGAUAUAGUUGAGGCUUAGUUCAGAAUUUUGAUGGCGACAGCGACCUCGUAUUUAACUUGUCUUGUGAUAGAUGCUGUUAAGGUGCAAGAGGUGUGAAGAUUGUCCUUGUCCCUCUUUGACAGACGCUGGGAUUGUAGCUGCCUUCAUACCCCUGGGUGUACCAUCUUCCUGGUUAGAUAGGAAAUGCUGCCUGUCCAUAGUUGUUAGGUAAUUUGGUUUAACAAUACUAAUAAAAGUUUCCAAGGUUAUUAUGCUGCCA
Calidris pygmaea (Spoon-billed sandpiper) is the source of this 1960-nucleotide long non-coding RNA. Lineage: Eukaryota; Metazoa; Chordata; Aves; Charadriiformes; Scolopacidae. The record is from Ensembl.